Long non-coding RNA from Olea europaea var. sylvestris, 732 nucleotides. RefSeq lists it as uncharacterized. NCBI's taxonomy places the organism in Eukaryota, Viridiplantae, Streptophyta, Magnoliopsida, Lamiales, Oleaceae. The transcript is spliced from 3 exons. The record is from RefSeq and is a predicted model, not a curated record.
UGAACUAGUGAUAUAAUAUAAGCCCAAACAUACAUUCGCAGCAUCGAGAAAACUUUCAGAACAUCAAAUGAAAUUUCCUGAUCAUGUUAUUGUAAAUCAGAUCAAUUAAUUUUUAAGUACCCAAUUCCCUCUUUAAUUUUAAAUUUUUUUUCCCCUCUGUGCCUGUCGUAUAAAUCGAAUCAGAAAGCUAUCUCUUUUCAGGCCUCUAUCGCUCAAAGCCAUGAAAGAUUCACAAGACAUUGAAGAUGGAAUUGCCAACAAAUUGAUGCCACCUUUAAUACAACUAUUGUAGAAUUCUUGUUUCUUGAUAAAAAUGGUGAAGGAGCUGAAAAAGAAAGACGUGGUCAAAGCAUUAAAUGAGGCUUCUCCUCGGGAGAAAUCUCCUUCUCACAUCACAAGGGCUCGACUUAAAGAAAUGGACUUGGAUAGGAAUGGAAAAAUAAGCUUCAGGGAAUUUCCAUAUGCAUUCCUUAAAUGGAUCGGGAUCGACUCUGAUGAUGAUAAUACUUAGAUACAAAAAUAAGAGGAGUGCAGGAUGGCAAAGAAACUCAACUGGGACAUUUUCUGGAGGUUCGACUUAUGCAUUAAACUGUUAAUUGUAUAUAAAUACUGUAGUGUAAUUGUAGUGUAUAAAUACUAUAGUGCAAUUGUAGUGUUUAUCUUCUGUAAUUUGUUUGUUUAUGUGUUCUAUAAUUUCUUCACAUUUAUCUAUGUUACUUCUAUCAGUUUAGU